AUGGAGCAGGCACGUUCCUGGGUGAGUCUGGGCUGCCCUCUCUAUGACUUCAGUUCCAGAAACAGCACAAAACCAUGGUUACAGUGUUGUCUGCAUUUGGAUGUAACUCUGCCACCGCUAAACCUCAGGACCCUAUUCAUGGCCACUGCGGAACCUAAAAUAAAAAGAGGCCUAAAAGAAAAGGUAUCCUACUAGGUACCUAAGCAUCCCAUCUGCUUCUGGAAUUACCCAGGCCAGUGAGGCACAUGAAAGGCAAGAAAAGUGGGGGCAGGGAGUUUCUUUAAAAUCAAGCCUCAGUCAGCAGACUGGUUAAGUGUACCCUCUGGAGUGAAAAGGGAGUGUGGCAGCCUGUCCCCUGCUACACCCAGUUACAGGACUGUGCAAGGUGAUGAAAACGGGUGCUAUAUGCACCAGUUCUUUCUCCUUCCUUUUGAUGUGCUUGCCGGAAGAUAUAUUGCUCAAAGCCUUUGCCAGGCUUAAAAUACUUGGGGAGGAAAAGAAGAGGGGAUCAUUGUUUAAGUCCUGAUUAAAUCCAGAAAGAUAACAACACAGACCCUGCUCCACUUUCUGCCUCGCUUCUGUAGCAUCUCUUUACACAUUCAGGAAACAAUGUAUUGCUUCAAAAUGACACAGUGCUGAAGGUAGCUUAAAGAUCCUAAGAGAGCUUUGGAAAACUUCAACAUGACAUUCCAUAGUUUGCAACUGGACAAUUCUCAGUGAGACAUUCAAGUAUGACCAUUUUCAGGGUGAGAAGACAAGACACCCAGAAAAAAGGACAGCUUUUUACCACAAUGGUCUAAAGUUAAAAUAUUAUUAUAUGCCA
Hemicordylus capensis (graceful crag lizard) is the source of this 823-nucleotide long non-coding RNA. RefSeq lists it as uncharacterized. The record is from RefSeq and is a predicted model, not a curated record. Lineage: Eukaryota; Metazoa; Chordata; Lepidosauria; Squamata; Cordylidae. The transcript is spliced from 6 exons.